UAGACAUUAUUCACCUACGCAGACAGGAAAUCACACACGCGCACACACAUACGCAUACAUUCACAUACACACAGACACAUACACACAUACAUAAACUCAUAUCUGCCCACAUGACAUUUUUCUUACAAGCAGGCACACAUAUCCACACACAUACAAUGACUGUGUUUCUCCUGGUUCUCAGCUAAGGAUCCAUGUUAAAAACAAAAUAAAAGCAAUUUCCAACAUGCUCACUGCUCCUUUCCAAAAGGAACAGAAGCCCCCCAAAAAUCCCUGAAUAACUACAGACUGUGCAAACACAGAGACUAUAAAUAAACAGGCCAUUCGCUGCUUUCAGAUGAGAUCAUUGUAAUUACAGGGAGCUGCAGUUGAGAACUCUCUCUCUCUCUCUCUCUCCCUCUCUCUCUCUCUCCCCCUUUUGUCUGUCUCACGUUUUCGUCCAAGGCAAUUUGACUGAUGAUUGUUGCUUGGAACUACAAAAGUGGAGUUACAUGUUUCAGGACGGACAUAUCAUACUGUGGCGCAGUAAUGGAAACAGUGGGGCCGCAUGGUUCAGAUUUCAGAGAGUCACGUGUCUCAUAUGCUUCAGGGUGAUGCGUUUCAUAUGCUGCAGUAACCUCAGCAGCUUGCACUGAACCUUACUCGCUCAUUCCUACGGAGACUAUUACCGGAGAAGGAAGUGAGAUGUGGUCCUUUUUUCCAGACUCUGAAUGGUUGUGGUGCCAGCAUUUCUGCCGAACGCACUCAGGCCAAACAGUGGAGAAGGGCUUCCCUCUGCUGCUAAUUGACCCAUAAAAGCAACAAAGGGAGGCCACUAAUCCACAGCGAGGGGAGAUUGGGACGGAAUCUCGCCGUUUUACGGCUCCAGAAGUUUUACAAGUUUUACAGUUCUUGGAAAUAUGGAGCUCACACAGGGCGGUGCACUCACGAAUGCAGAUGGUGGAGAGGAGGCGUGUGGCGAUGUAUGGAGGCAGGCAGUUGGGGAAAGCCGGCUGCAGCACGUAGUUGGAGAAGAUAAAUGUUCCAGAUGGGAAUUCCAGGUGAGCGAUCCAGACGAGUGUUCCAGAUAAGAGUUCAAAUUAUUGUCACGGAGUUUGUUUGAGAAACAUAGGGAGAGGAAGACGCUGUUAUUGAUGGGUUUGAGCACUGUUACAAGACUGGCACCUCCCUCAUCUCUGGAUCACUGCUACAUGAGCAGAGGCGUCCUUUCCGACGCAGACCUCACAAUGCUGUCCGCCGCUACUGCAUGUAAUCCAUCACUCACCGACAAUAAAUGUAACUAUUUUAUGGUUCCAUUUUGGCUUUUGUUGACAUCUGUAAGUACAUGUUUUUGCAGUUCAUUAGCCUGUCCUGUUGUGGAUGGUAAGUGUGUGAACAAACUCAGACACACACUUUACUUCUGCUGGUGAAAACUUCAGAACUCAUCAAUAUAUACUAGUAGCAAAGGUUACACUCAGAUGACCUUCAUUUGGACCUUCUGGCACUGAUGUUUUCAAAUGUUGAAAUUCUCUUUCUUGUCUUCUGUUGGCCUUAUCUGAAUGCUUUUGAUGAAGGUCAUCCACCAGUCCACUUUCAUUAACCCACCAAGAUACACACACGCAUACACACUUUGACUCUCCAUAUUCCAGUAUUGGAAGAGGAGGGAGAAAGACUAAAGUCCUUGCCUUUGGUUUCUGUAGGAUGUGAUUGACACAAGGCAGAUCUGAGGAAAAUUACGUGUUACAAAAAAUGUUACCAGCUUUUUGUAGGACUCGAAGAUGUAAAACAUCAUCCAACAACCGUAUCAAAUUAACUCCUUGGGAUACUGUAAAUGACUCCGAGAAGAUUAUAAAUCAGUAAACCACGCUGAAGUCCAUAUGUCUGCGAAAUUUGCGUUGACAGAUAGUACCACAUGGCGUCCGCUUACUGCUCUGCAAAAAUGAGUAUAGCGUGGCACCACGUGCUCCUCUUAAGUUCCUCUUAAUUUACAUUGGGGAAAAAUAGCAUAAGUCGGACUAAUGUGUAAUUGAAUAAAGUACAGUAGUGAUCUGAA
Long non-coding RNA from Electrophorus electricus (electric eel), 2029 nucleotides. RefSeq lists it as uncharacterized. The record is from RefSeq and is a predicted model, not a curated record. NCBI's taxonomy places the organism in Eukaryota, Metazoa, Chordata, Actinopteri, Gymnotiformes, Gymnotidae.